Molecule: ribosomal RNA, 252 nt
Filed under: uncultured bacterium
Lineage: Bacteria
Description: partial 16S ribosomal RNA
Rfam family: Bacterial small subunit ribosomal RNA
Source: RNAcentral
UACGAAGGGGGCUAGCGUUGCUCGGAAUUACUGGGCGUAAAGGGAGCGUAGGCGGAUAGUUUAGUCAGAGGUGAAAGCCCAGGGCUCAACCCUGGAAUUGCCUUUGAUACUGGCUAUCUUGAGUGUGGGAGAGGUUAGCGGAACUCCGAGUGUAGAGGUGAAAUUCGUAGAUAUUCGGAAGAACACCAGUGGCGAAGGCGGCUAACUGGCCCAUACUGACGCUGAGGCUCGAAAGCGUGGGGAGCAAACAGG